UUUCAAGAUACUUUAAGCAGAUCCUCAGCACCCCAGAGGCUGAGGUGCCAGGAAAGGGCUGUUGGGCCCAUGAUAGACAAAGCCACUGGCACUGCUGAUUAAGCAGCUCCGGGUUCCUGGGAAGCCCAUGUGAUAUCUUGGAGUCCAAUCAAGAAUAUUUUCCUAAAGCAUUUUGACAUGAUGAGCUCCACACAAGUGAAUGAAGGAACUGCCCAGGCCCAGCUCUAAAAACUCUGCUCUGGAUCUGCUGCUGAUCCACCUAUAGCCAGGCACGAACUCCUGGCAGACAGUGGUGCCACCCCGGGUUUCAGGAACACUGCCCUAAUUCCAUGGUUCUGUGCUGAUUACACAGCCUCAGCCACUUAAUAGUGGAUGUAGGGUUGGUUUUAUUUCCUGUAAAGAACAGGGUGUUUGGCAAAAGAGGAGAGUGAGAGUGACAGCUGUGUACACAUUUCACAUAUUUCCAGUGUUAUUUCUCCUCCAGAGAAGAACAGAGCUGUUAUUAAUAA
Molecule: long non-coding RNA, 509 nt
Organism: Neopelma chrysocephalum (saffron-crested tyrant-manakin)
Lineage: Eukaryota; Metazoa; Chordata; Aves; Passeriformes; Pipridae
Exons: 2
Source: RefSeq, a predicted model, not a curated record